Long non-coding RNA from Salvia miltiorrhiza (redroot sage), 810 nucleotides. RefSeq lists it as uncharacterized. Lineage: Eukaryota; Viridiplantae; Streptophyta; Magnoliopsida; Lamiales; Lamiaceae. The transcript is spliced from 3 exons. The record is from RefSeq and is a predicted model, not a curated record.
UCAGCCACAACACACACACUAACACCUAAAACACACACACACUUCACGCAUAACACCAUUUUCUUUGGUGUUGGAGCUUUUGACCUCCGAUUUGAGCACCGAGACGAGCGUCGAUCAUCUUUUCGAUCACGUAUCUAAGUAGGUCCUUUUGGGAAGUAACGACUUGAGGGAGAGAGUGACGUUACUCAUUGAUACAGAGACACAACGAGGUUGAGCUGAUGUGAUGAUGGUGCUGCAAUGAGCGGAGUCUCCAGGGUUGUUAAUAAAUAGUUAACCUGUCUAGAAUAUGUCUUCAUACAUAUGUCUAGCUACUUUCCGCUGUAAGAUGUUGUUGAUGUUAUAGUAUGUUAUGUCAUACUUUGAGUCUUAAGAGAAUGGUUUCAUACGAUGUAUAACUUGAUUAAUGAUAUUAAUUAAGUUUUAUGUUGUCUUUCAUAGACUGUUUUCAAUUGAGUAUUAAUGAAUAAAAAUGACGAGUUUUAUUAAGAUGAGUAAGUUUUACGGCUAUAAAUGACGCCCCUUUUCUUCCCCUUCUUCUUUAACCCCAUCCCUAGUCGUGGAUCACUCGGCCUAACUAUCCAUAGUUAGGGCGGGCUGUGACAGAGUGGUAUCAGAGCGAAGGAAAGCUCUGAAUUUGAAGUCUUGAGUUUAGUCUAGAAUGAGUUACUAGGCUAAUAGUUAUUAACAACCGUGAGCUCAGCGCACCAUCACACCAGGCUCAACGAGGUAUGUAAAAUUUCAAAGUUUAUUUGACGUUAAAUUUUGAAGAGCAUGAUGUUGAGGUUAUAUGAUGAGUUAUGAUGUUACACU